UACGGGGGGGAGCAAGCGUUGUUCGGAUUUACUGGGCGUAAAGGGCGCGUAGGCGGCGUGACAAGUCACUUGUGAAAUCUCCGGGCUUAACUCGGAACGGUCAAGUGAUACUGUCGUGCUAGAGUACAGAAGGGGCAACUGGAAUUCUCGGUGUAGCGGUGAAAUGCGUAGAUAUCAGGAGGAACACCGGUGGCGAAGGCGGGUCUCUGGGCAGUAACUGACGCUGAGGAGCGAAAGCGUGGGGAGCGAACAGG
RNAcentral lists this ribosomal RNA (254 nucleotides) under uncultured bacterium. Its description in RNAcentral is "partial 16S ribosomal RNA". It matches the Rfam family "Bacterial small subunit ribosomal RNA", at positions 524 to 776 of the family's 1533-position model. The record is from RNAcentral.